Non-coding RNA from Monodelphis domestica (gray short-tailed opossum), 5571 nucleotides. The record is from RefSeq and is a predicted model, not a curated record. Lineage: Eukaryota; Metazoa; Chordata; Mammalia; Didelphimorphia; Didelphidae.
CAUUGGGUGGACUCUCUGUGAAGAACUUAUGGGAGGAUAUCGACAAGAGUAACAUGUGAUGAGCAAAUUCUACAGCAAGAUUUGCCUACCAUCACUUUUGAAGACUCUAUUUUGAUUCAAUAUGUAGAUGAUUUGCUUCUAGCUUCACCAGACCAGGAAACCUGUUGAUGUUCAAGAGCUUGUUCAAAAGGGACAUGAGAUUUCAAAGAACAAGGUACAGUGGUGUAAGUCACAAGUAGAAUAUUUGGGUUUUAUCUUGUCACCAGGAAAAAGAACUAUUACACCAAAGAGAGUUCAGACUUUGAAAAAUUUAUCCAUUCCUAAAACUAAGAAGCAGAUAUGAGCUAUAUUGAACUGACAAAGAAUUUGGUCACUGAGCCUUUGGAGGUGAAACCAGAACCACUUGUGGCCUCUCAGGGAGCUAACAAAGGCACUAUUAACUGUACCCACCCUUGGGCUUCCUAACUACUCUAAGCAUUUCACUUUGUAUGUACACAAGAGGAGGGAGGUAGCAUCUGGAAUUCUAUCUCAAGCUUUUGCUUUUUCCCAAGGACCUGUAGCUUACUACUCAGCUCAGCUAGAUCCUGUAGCAGCAGGAGCUCCUCCUUAUCUGGCAUUUUCAGAUAAGAGAAUUGCUAGAUAUGAAGUGACUCUAUUAGCAAAUGAGAAUAUCACCAUAAAGAGAUGCAACACCCUAAAUCCUUCCACAUUACUCCCAGAUCUUCCUGUAUCAGGGGACAUAACGGUGAAUCUGUUCCUGAACUAUCAGAAAGACCACAUCAGGAUUCGUUGGACAUUCCUCUGGAAAAUCCUGAGCUUGGUGGUUCUUCCUUUGUUGAACAAGGCUGUCAUUUUACUCAGGCAGUCGUGGUUACAGACUUUGAAAUCUUAUGGGCAACCUCUUUGUCUUCCAAUCUGAGGGCUCAAGCUACUGAACUUAUCAUGCUAACGAAAGCUUGUUUCUUAUCCAAAGGAAAGACUGUUAACAGCUACUCAGAUUCUUGCUAUGCUGUGGGAAUAUGUAAUGCCACAGAAAUGUUGUUGUUACAAAGGGACUUCCCUUACCUCCACUGGAAAACAGGUAGCCACUCUGACAAGAUAAAGGACUUGUUAGAAGCUAUACAAUUGCCCAGAGCCUUGGCCAUCAUACAUCGUUCAACACACAAAAAGGAAAGUGAUUCUGUGUCCAGAGGAAAUGAAAGAGCUGAUUUAGCUGCUAAGUCAGCAGCCAAAGAUCACCAUGAUGCUAGCUGCUCCAGAAGAGAAACCUGAUAAAGACUCUGUUCUCCCUAAAGGAAAUUGGCCAGGAAUCAUCUAUGAAGACAAGGAAGUGGACACUUGGAUUAAGCAGUAUGAUGCUAAGCAGGUAUCAGGGAUCUGGAGCCAACAAGCAAUUCCACUGGGAAACUCCUAACUCUUGAAAAUUUCUAUGGAGACAAGGAGUGAACUAUAGAGUCAAUAGGGGGCAGCAAGAUCCAUAUACAUAUAAAACUUAAAAGAAAAAUGGAAAUUAGUGUCAAGCACUGGAAGAACUCAACAAAGAAUUCCAAAUGGGAAAAAGAAAUGAAACUAAUGCAAAAAGAAAAUAAUAACUUAAAAACCAAAUGAGGAAAUUGAGGUGCAUGGAAGUUAUGUGACUUGUCUGAAGUCACAAAAUUAAUCUUCACUUCCUUUUUGAAGAUGGUAAAGCCAAAGGCAAUGAUGUCAAAAAAAGGUGGAGGUAUCUCAAUGAUUAAACAAUUUUUUAGGCAAAAGAUAUUUUAAAAAAUCCUUCCAGAUUCCCAUAUCUACCAAGAGGACACCUGACCUCAUGUUUGGCACAUGAAAAGACUCUUCAUCUACAAUGAAUUCUAAAGCCAAAAUGCAAAUGUUUCAACUUUCCAACUGUGUAACUGAUUCCAGCUGAAUGAAGAAUAUUGUAAAAAAACGAAUAAGCAAAAUGAUGACCCUGACUCAGGAGCCAAUAUAUAUAUAUACAUAUAUAUAUAUAUAUAUACUCACCCAGUAGCAACCAUGGUUUAAUAACACCAACUUGCAGGUCCAGGCUUAGGUCCUGCACAAAACCACAGCCACCCCCACUGCCAGGCUCAACUUCUUCCACAACGUGAAUUCUGGCAUCUUUCCAGGUUUCUAUAAUUUUUUUCCCAGUUAAGGUUGUCACCCUGGUGCAUUGCUUCCUGAGAUUAGUCCGUGAGAAUGCUCUAAUUUCCUGGUUAAGGGAGUGCAUUACAUGAACAGUCGCUGGUAACAAAUAAAAACAAGUCUAAGAUGUACCAGAUGAGCCGUGACCUCCUCUUCUUUGAUCUCACAGGAUGCAACACAGCUUUCCAUUGGUCAUUCAAAAGCAGUGGCUGAUUGGCUCUUGUUUCUGCUUCCUCAUUCAAGGGAAAAAUUCAGUUCUUUCCACCUCGUACAUCCAAAUGAAAAUACCUUUUAAUUAGUUGAAAAUAUGCACUAUAUUUGCCGCAUAGGUGAAGUGAGAAGUUAAAGCAAGAAUUGUACAUUUGGAAACUGUAUAUACACGAAUGGCUGAAUUCAUCAAAACAAUGGAUUGAGAAAGAAAGAGUAGUACAUCGAUGAAAAAAAUAAAGACCUCCAAAAGAAAAAUGACCAAAAACUAAAAUGUUUCUAGAAAUCUUAAGUUGAUGAAUUAUAAAUGCUAGAGCAGUGAAUGUUUCUGGAUAUGCCUAAAUAAGAUAUACCCAUAUUUUCUGAAUUUAUGAACAAUUUUCAUGGGAAGAUGGCACAUGAGAUACCGCUGCUAAAGUCUAUUCUGAAGCCUCACUAAGGCAUUAAGGUAACCCGAUUUCUCAAAGGCUCUGAUAAUGGAACAAAAACUCAAUUAAAUCCUGUCAAAUUGGAAAAGUUUUUUUAGUUAGAAUCUGGUGAUGGACAUCUACAAACCAACCUAGCUAAUUUUUAAAAAGUCCAACACCAGAUUGCUAAAACACAGAAGGAUUAUAAAACUAUUGAAGGAGGGAGUACAGUACUCACACUUAAGAGAUCACAAGUUUGACAGAAUUGAAGUAUAGGAUGCUGUUUAUUUUAGUCCCUGAAUGGCCUUUCAUAGAAGAUCGGAAUCCUAUUGUGCUGAGAAUUAAAAAAAGGCAUGAGAUUUAUUAAGAAGUAUGUAAUGGAGGAAUUGAUCAGUUUCUAAUAAGUUAUUGCAAUUUAAUAUGAUGGUGGGAAUAUGCAUCUAGAAGACAGUUACAUUCUGUAAACAGUAUUAUAUACAUGAUGGCAUAUGUAUAGAAACCUGGGAUCCAGUUCUGACUUUGGUAUUAACUAGUUCAGUAUCCUUGGGGUGUAUGGGGUGCUCAGGGAGGGGUAGUAUCUCUGGUAUGGAGGGCUUGUCCUGCCCUCUUAGGGCAGCUCUCCAGCCUCUGACGCCCACCUAAUACCCAGCUCUCACUUGUGGCUCCCAGUAGCUGCUAGCAUGCGGCAGCGGCCACACCCCGGGCGACAGGCUGGCUAAACCUUGUGAGGGUAGCCAUCGGGUCCUCGACCCCUGGUGAACCAGGGCUUUGCUCACCCAGCAUGUGAAGACUGCUUUGGCGGAACAGGCGGAAGAAACUAAAAAGAAGGUUCAAUGGCUGAGAUGGCGACGCAGCAAAGCACUGUGGAGUGCUUAGGGCGUGUUGGAGCACAAAAGAUAACACGGCCAUCCAAUGCAGCUGAGGAAGUCUCCAGGUGUAACGAUUUUUCGUGCCACUGGACCCAGGCUUCCAACGCCGAGAGAGUGGGACUGUCUCUGUGCACUGACUUUUCCACUUAAAUCUCCUUCACGCACAAGUGUUUUUGUGCACACUCAUCUAUCACAGAUGAACACACACAAAGACAAUCGUCAUCCUCGGUUACCGAGAGACUACUACUACAUAUCCCUGGGGUAAAUUGCUUAUUCUCCCUAGGCCUCAGUUUCUUCACAUGUAAAAUAAGGAGAUUGGACUCACUGGUAGAUAAGACUAUUUAUGAGAGGCUAUAAGCUCCUCCAAGGAAGGACUGUCUUUGUUUUUGUGUCCCUGGUGCCUUUCCUAGUGCCUUGUAUUUAGAAGAUAGUUAAUAAAUGUGAAUUGAAUUGAAUUGAAAUUUAGCUCUAAUGUACCAUGAUACAUCAGUUUGGGGAACAGCAAAUACUUUAAAAACAAAUAGUGGGGGCAGCUGUGUGGCUCAGUGGAUUGAAAGUCAGGCACAGAGAUGGGAGGUCCUGGGUUCAAAUAUGACCUCAGACACUUCCUAGAUGUGUAACCCUGGGCAAGUCACUUAACCCCCAUUGCUUAACCCUUACCACUCUUGUGCCUUAGAACCAAUACCCAGUAUUGAUUCUAAGACAGAAGGUAAGAGUUAAAAAAAAAAUCCAAAUAGUGAUUUCCCUUAGCUGCUUCAUUUGGAAAGGUGUUUUUUUUGAGUGAUGUUUAGUUUUAUCUUGAUACCUGUUUAUUGAUCUACCAUGUUAAAAAUAGCUGUACUGGUAAAAUCAACAGGAGUGCACAUUGGUUUGUUUAGUAGAUUUAUAUUCGUAUAACUUUACUUCAAUACUUAAGAAGAAGGAUAGUCUCAUCAGGGUUGGGUUGACUGCCAAUGUCACACAGCACAGUCUAUUCAUGUUUCUCAUCCUGUGAUACUCUUCCAAACAUCCUGCUAUAUAAAUCUUCCAUAGUGGGCUCACCCAUUCUAUCGGCAUUCUCCCAGAUCUUUUUAACAUUAAAUGGAUACCAGUGCAAUACUCGAGUUUUUCAUGUCAUCUUUUGCUCUCAUUGUGAAUGGUCCGCCUCCAUUUUCCAGAACACAUCUCCUAAAUCACUGAUAUCUUUUAUGCUACACCAAGUACUGAAGCUGCCAUUAAAAAUCUGCUACAGCCUACUUCCUCCCACUAUCAUCUUUCCAUUGCCUUUUCAGUUACCAGCAAUUUUGGUUAUUUGAAGACUGUAGUGUUUCAUUAUUUAUAGCCAUGUAAUAUCAUAAGAUAAUAUUUAUACUAGUCAAAAUGUAGAAAUUGCUCCCUAAAAUUUAUAUGUAUGUUUUAAACACACAUGUACCUAUGCAUACACAUAAAUUCAGGUAUAUAAUUCCCUCUAUGAUUAAAUGAAGAAGCACUAUGAAAAAACUUUUGUUUUUUCUUGUUCUAACUCAGAGCACAAAGAGAAGUAAAUGUAGAUAAGUAGCUUAUGAGCAAAUGCUACUAAAUCAUUUGCUACCGAUUGCAUUGAUUUACAUUUGGGAGCUUGUAAUCAUGGUCAAUUUCACUAUAGUACUGAAUAUGAAACAUCAUAUUGAACCAGAUGUGUAAUCACUUCUUUUAGAUUCAAAGAGAAGUUGUUAUGCAUAAACUAUCAAGAUGAAGAGGAGAGGAAAACCUUUCUGGUUGUAUAGUAGCAGAAAUUCUUAAACUCCAUGUUAAUCAAAUGGAAAAUAGGAGCUUCUAGUAAAAUUGCUGGUCUAUGUGUUUUCCCAAAAGGAUUAAUUUCUUGGAAACUUCUGAGUAUUAAGUGAUGUUUUUCAUGGAUUUUUUUUUAACAAGCACAAAUUUGUUCAACAUCAACAGCAAUAUGAAUAAAUACUUAAGGAUCUGUC